CGGGGUGUGGCCUAGUGGAUUAAGGCGCUUGCAUGGGGUGCAAGAGAUCGGGAGUUCGAAUCUCCCCACCCCGACCA
This 77-nucleotide transfer RNA is filed under the name bacterium. RNAcentral's name for it is "tRNA-Pro". It matches the Rfam family "tRNA". Rfam says of the family: Transfer RNA (tRNA) molecules are approximately 80 nucleotides in length. The record is from RNAcentral.